UUUCAGAAGUCAAACUUUGACUGGCUUUAUAUCCAAAUAUGAUUUGAAUUUUAGAAAAAUGAAUGUGAAUUCAUGCUUGAGAGGUCAAAAUUAGUCAAGACGGAAAAAAUGUUAAAAAGUCAAAAUGUUAACUUUCGAAUUGAAAAAGUCAAACUUUGAAUUUGAUUUAAAUGUCAAAUUACCAAACUGCCCUUAGACUAAUUUGUUAAGAUUUGGCAAACUCAUCAUAUGUAAGUGUUGCAUGUGAUUUGUAAGUAGCUUCAUGCAUGUGAAACACCAACUUCACUAAUAGUUAGUGAAAUGUCAAUUGGUGAGAUAAAUAAGCUCUUACAUGUGGUUUGCUCGUAAAGAGGUUUAUUGCAAAUAUGAAUGGUCUCUUGUCUUUUUAACAAGGUGAGAUUUUAUUUUGUAAUUAAGAAUUACAAAAUAAACCAAUAACUCACUUUACCCUCCACACAACAAAAUCUCAAAGCUAGAUUCCUCCUUAAAAUUCCAUCUUUUCUCUCUCUAGUGGUAGUCCUGGCUUCGAGUUCGUGAGCAGAUUGCGAAAAGUUCGUGAGGAGAUCACAAGAAAAUUAAAGUACUAAAGGUCUAUUAAUUCCAGCACCACGGAUGCCACGUUGCCUCCAGUUACAAAUGAGUUCAUGAGUUUCGUGAUGAAUAUUUUUGAGGAGGUGCAAAGUUUUCAAGCCAUUGCAUGACUUCUUGAAGUGUAACUUCAUUUCUUUCCACAGAAGCUUCCACGAACAACAAGCGUCUCUAGGAAGUUCUUGGAGAGAGGAUGGGUGUUUCAUCCGCCUCUUGGUAUUUGAGCAAGUUUCUCUAUUGCCAUCGGGUUAGCACAUCAGAUAGCCAUUUAGCCCAAAAACUUUUUGGCACUUUGAUACCUAUUUGGUGUAAAACCAAAUAGUACUUUUGAUUGAAUGUAUAAUCUGGCUUUCAAAAGGA
Molecule: long non-coding RNA, 948 nt
Organism: Cucumis sativus (cucumber)
Lineage: Eukaryota; Viridiplantae; Streptophyta; Magnoliopsida; Cucurbitales; Cucurbitaceae
Exons: 2
Source: RefSeq, a predicted model, not a curated record